This is a long non-coding RNA of Pomacea canaliculata, 260 nucleotides long. RefSeq lists it as uncharacterized. The record is from RefSeq and is a predicted model, not a curated record. The transcript is spliced from 3 exons. NCBI's taxonomy places the organism in Eukaryota, Metazoa, Mollusca, Gastropoda, Architaenioglossa, Ampullariidae.
GUACCAACGGCCGACGCAAGAAGCCGACUUGCUACGUCUGUGUUACACCCUCAUGCAAGCGCCGCACGUCAGGUGGAUCAUCGUCGAGGACAGCGACGACAAAACAGAGCUGGUACAGAGGAUAACAAAGGAGUGUAAGGUGCCUGACAUCACACAUCUGGUGGCAAGAACGCGGCUCUUAGCAAAUGAGUCUCAUCGAGGUGUGACUCAGCGCAACACGGGGCUGGCGUGGGUCCGCCACAAUGUCCUGCCUCGUCACG